UAGGGAAUCUUCCGCAAUGGGCGAAAGCCUGACGGAGCAACGCCGCGUGAGUGAUGAAGGUCUUCGGAUCGUAAAACUCUGUUAUUAGGGAAGAACAAAUGUGUAAGUAACUAUGCACGUCUUGACGGUACCUAAUCAGAAAGCCACGGCUAACUACGUGCCAGCAGCCGCGGUAAUACGUAGGUGGCAAGCGUUAUCCGGAAUUAUUGGGCGUAAAGCGCGCGUAGGCGGUUUUUUAAGUCUGAUGUGAAAGCCCACGGCUCAACCGUGGAGGGUCAUUGGAAACUGGAAAACUUGAGUGCAGAAGAGGAAAGUGGAAUUCCAUGUGUAGCGGUGAAAUGCGCAGAGAUAUGGAGGAACACCAGUGGCGAAGGCGACUUUCUGGUCUGUAACUGACGCUGAUGUGCGAAGCGUGGGGAUCAAACAGG
This 428-nucleotide ribosomal RNA is filed under the name Actinomycetes bacterium. RNAcentral's name for it is "Actinobacteria bacterium partial 16S ribosomal RNA". It matches the Rfam family "Bacterial small subunit ribosomal RNA", at positions 355 to 776 of the family's 1533-position model. The record is from RNAcentral. RNAcentral also lists the same sequence under 1 other name. Lineage: Bacteria; Bacillati; Actinomycetota; Actinomycetes.